Mustela erminea (ermine) is the source of this 1480-nucleotide long non-coding RNA. RefSeq lists it as uncharacterized. The record is from RefSeq and is a predicted model, not a curated record. Lineage: Eukaryota; Metazoa; Chordata; Mammalia; Carnivora; Mustelidae. The transcript has 3 exons.
CAAGGCAGGGAAGGAACAGGACAGAUUGCUCAGGGCGCUGUGGGUUUGUGGUGAGGAUUUUGCCCAGAGGAGCUAGGAGCCAUAGAGUGUUGUAGAGAGCGGAAGAAUAUGGCCUGAGGUUCUCACAGGCGCCCUCUGGCUGCUGUGGGGCCAGGCUGGCAGCAGGGGCAUGAGGGCAGAGGCACCUUCCCCCGGGAGAUGACUGCUGAGAUGGUGAGAAGUGAGUAGAAGAAUGAGAAAUUGUAAAGCUGUACAAGAAAGAGGCGAUUAAAGCAGUCUCCAAGCGAAUGCAUUCAAGGAUUCCUUGUUUGAGUCCAGAAGUGUUUAUUGAGCCCGUACCGUGUGCUGGGCACUGUUCUAGUUUGAGAACGCAGCAAUGAGUAAAGCAAUAAACAUCCCUGCCCUGGGGGAGCUGAUGGUGUCGUGGGGGAGAGAGACAAGAAGCAAGAUUCAUUUUAAAGCAGGAUCAAGGGGUAGUGCCCUUUUAUGUGAAAAAUGCAACAGAGCGAGCCUUGGAGAGUAGUGAUGGGGCUGCACACGGAGACUGGUUGGACUGGGCAGAACUUGGGAUGCAUUUUGAAGCCAGAGCUGCUCUCAGGGUUGGCAGGCGGAUUGCCUGUAUAGGUGGAAAUGACAGAACGUGGUGCCUGGGUAUGAACGUGAACUUUGAAGGGACACCCAUACAGAUACCGUUAGGUUGAAUGUUUAUUGUUUCCCCCCAUCUUAGGUUGGGUUCCCGAGAAGCUAAUCCCGAGUCAGGGAUUUGGAGCACAUGGUUAACUGUGAGUGGAGGGAGGUGAAACUUCACUCUUAACUAUGGACAAGAAGGAUCCAGCAUUAUUUCUGUCCCAUCAGACUUAUUGUGGUGCAGGAAAUGGGAGAGGAGGAAGUGUCUGUGAAGCAGCCACUGUGUGCUAGGCAUCGGGCGGUGUGCCAGGGAACUGCGGGGAGAAAUUAAGACCUGGUUCCUGCCCUUCAAAGCCAGUGGGGCAUGUGCAAAGUCCUUGACCACUAGUCCUAAAAACUGCCAAGGUCCUGAGAAAGGAAAGACCAAGAAACGAUCACAGACGUGAGAGGAAGAUGAAGGAGAUGUGGGGACUAAACGCACCGUGGGAUUCUGGAUGGGACUCUGGACCAGGAAAAGGACAUGGGUGGAAAACCUGGGGAAAUCCCAUAAAAUCUGAAAUUUCAUCAUAGUGGUGCACCAGUGUUGCUUUCUCAGUUGUGACAAGGGUACCAUGGGCAUGUAAGAUGUUAUCAACAGGGGAAAUUGGGUGGAGGGCAUAUGGGAGCUCUCCAUCCGAUCUUCACAACUUUUCUGUAAGUCUAAAGUUAUUCCAGAAUAAAAAAAUGAUUUAGAAAAAGUCAGCAGGGGACAUGGAACUAUUCUAGAACAUCGGUGGUUCCAGGUUGCUAGAAAAGGUCCUCCUGACUGAGCAUGCAGUGUGCUGGGCGCUACAGUUGACUCCUGACAUGUUCU